GCGCUCGUAGCUCAACGGAUUAGAGCGUUGGUCUUCGGAACCAAAGGUUGGGAGUUCGAAUCUCCCCGAGCGCGCCA
Molecule: transfer RNA, 77 nt
Filed under: Candidatus Cloacimonadota bacterium
Lineage: Bacteria; Pseudomonadati; Candidatus Cloacimonadota
Description: tRNA-Arg
Rfam family: tRNA
About the family: Transfer RNA (tRNA) molecules are approximately 80 nucleotides in length. Their secondary structure includes four short double-helical elements and three loops (D, anti-codon, and T loops).
Source: RNAcentral